CACGGGGGGAGCAAGUGUUGUUCGGAAUCACUGGGCGUAAAGGGCGUGUAGGCGGUCAAGUAAGUGGAAUGUGAAAGCCCCCGGCUUACCCGGGGAUCUGCAUCCCAAACUGCUUGGCUUGAGUACGGGAGAGGAUAGGGGAAUUCCUGGUGUAGCGGUGAAAUGCGUAGAUAUCAGGAGGAACACCGGUGGCGAAGGCGCCUAUCUGGCCCGAUACUGACGCUGAGGCGCGAAAGCUAGGGGAGCAAACGGG
Molecule: ribosomal RNA, 253 nt
Filed under: uncultured bacterium
Lineage: Bacteria
Description: partial 16S ribosomal RNA
Rfam family: Bacterial small subunit ribosomal RNA
Source: RNAcentral